Molecule: RNA transcript, 2918 nt
Organism: Mercurialis annua (annual mercury)
Lineage: Eukaryota; Viridiplantae; Streptophyta; Magnoliopsida; Malpighiales; Euphorbiaceae
Gene name: G-type lectin S-receptor-like serine/threonine-protein kinase SD2-2
Exons: 3
Source: RefSeq, a predicted model, not a curated record
CCCACACAAUCUCCCCCCCCCCCCCAAAAAAACAUGUCUAAAAACUAGACUCCGGCAAGCGGCGGCGACGGUGGCGGUGGGACUUCACUGUAUCCAUAUUUAUCAGAUUCAGUCAUGUCCUUCCGCUCAUAAAACAUGCCAUUUUUCUCUUCUCGCCAACCCAUGAAAUGUCGCCAACUCUCUGUUUUCUCCUAAUUUUUCUGGUCGCAGCUUCUAAUUCUUCACUUCUCGUUAAAUCUGAGCCGUUAAUUGCCCAAGAUCUUCGAAUAAUAUCACCAAACUCCUCAAAUUUUGAAUACCCAGUACUUGAAGACUACAAUGGGGCUAGAAAAAGUGAAAAACCGGAGUCUAAAAUGGUUAUCAUCACCGGAAAUUUCACAAUUCCGAGUGAAAACUACACUUUUCAGAUGGGUUUUUUCACUCCGAACGGCGGUUCAAAAUGGUAUCUUGGCAUUUGGUACGCUUCAACCCCAACCCCAACGUACGUCUGGGUAGCAAAUCGUGAAACGCCCGUCACAAAUCUUGCAUCUUCCACGUUAGAAUUAACAGAACUGGGACAGCUGUCGUUAACGGAGUCCAAAAACUCCGUAAUUUGGCAGAGCUCAAACUCAGAGAAAGCCACGGAGUUUCGGUUUCUUGACAACGGAAAUCUAAUUUUAUUAUCAGCCACCGGGUCAGUUUUAUGGCAGAGCUUUGAUUACCCAACUGACACGUGGCUACCGGGUAUGAACAUCACUAAGGUACAAUCUUUAACCUCGUGGAGAAGCUUAGCGGACCCGUCGCCGGGUUUAUAUUCUCUCCGGCUAAGUUUAAAAGGGUUUAAUGAAUUUGAGCUGGUGUUUAAUAAGAGUGUUAGAUACUGGAGCACCGGUAACUGGAACGGUAAGUUAUUCACCGGUGUUCCUGAAAUGACAGUGCCGUACAUUUAUAAUUUUCACUUUGCUGAUCCGUUUAGUCCCACAGCGUCGUUUUGGUACACUGAAGUGGCGGCUUCAGAUGCGGCUUUGAAGCCGCCGUUGACUCGGUUUCGGGUCGAUGUUAAUGGGCAGUUGAAGCAGUUUACUUGGGCUUCACAGGUGGCGAGUUGGAACAUGUUUUGGUCGCAGCCGGAGAAUCAGUGUAAAGUGUAUGGAUUAUGUGGGGAGUUAGGGUUUUGUAGUAGUGAUAGUGAAUCUUCUAAGCCUUGUUUUUGUCUUUCCGGGUUUACGGCUAGUGAUUAUGACUGGGAGUACGAGGAUUAUUCCGGUGGGUGUGUGAGGGAGAGCGGUGAUCGGUGUAAUGAGAGUGACGGGUUUGUGGAGGCGGGUAUGGUGGCGUUUGAGGGGGGUAAUUCGGUGUCGUAUAGGGGAAGUAGGAGUGAUUGUGAGAGGUUUUGUUUGGGAAAUUGUUCUUGUGUAGGUUUAAUUCAUGACCAGAGGAGUAAUUUAUGUAAGAAUUUGUAUGGUUCUUUAUUGAAUUUGAGAAAUCUGAGCUCUGAAGUUAAUUAUCAAGAUGUGUUAUCUAUUAGGGUUCCUAAAGAAGGCACGAUAAAGAAGAAUGAUUCAAAAUCUGUGCUUUUGAUUGGUGGUAUUCUUGCAUCUAUUGCCAUUUGUGGGUUAAUGGUAGGGAUUUUGCUGAUUUUGCAGAUGAGGAGGAAGAAGAUCAAAGGUAUUUGUAAGGGUAAAGGUAAUAGUAACGGAGAAGACGGUGGCGUUCCGAUGUUGAAUUUAAAGGUGUUUUCUUAUAAAGAUUUGCAUGCGGCUACUAAGGGUUUUGCUGAUAAACUCGGACACGGUGGAUUCGGUGCUGUGUUUCAAGGCGAGUUGUUGGAUUCUACUCGUAUUGCUGUCAAACGCCUCGAAAGGCCAGGCGGUGGCGAGAAAGAGUUCAGGGCAGAGGUAUGUACCAUUGGCAACAUACAACAUGUUAAUCUUGUUAGGCUUAUAGGGUUUUGCUCAGAGAAUUCUCAUAGGCUUUUGGUGUACGAUUACAUGUCGAAUGGUCCUAUAAGUGUUUAUUUACGCCAAGACGGACCCAAUUUGAGUUGGGAUGUUAGAUUUCGUAUAGCCGUUGGAACCGCUAGAGGCAUAGCGUAUUUACACGAGGGAUGUCGAGAUUGCAUUAUCCAUUGUGAUAUCAAACCAGAAAACAUCCUUUUGGACGGUGAUUACACGGCCAAGGUCUCAGAUUUCGGCCUAGCAAAGCUCGUUGGUCGUGAUUUUAGUCGCGUGUUAGCCACCAUGAGGGGUACCUGGGGCUAUGUAGCUCCGGAAUGGAUAUCCGGAGUGGCCAUUACUACAAAGGCCGAUGUUUAUAGUUACGGAAUGACAUUGUUGGAAUUGCUUAGCGGACGAAGAAACGUUGAGGCGCCACCCUCUGCAGGUGGCGGCAAAAAAGGCGAGCAUGGUGAGAAAUGGUUCUUUCCGCCAUACGCUGCACAACAAAUCAUUGAUGGCAAUGUAGCAGCGGUGGUAGAUUAUAGACUAGGCAGGUCAUAUAAAACCGACGAGGCUGAGCGUGUUGGGUUGGUGGCGAUUUGGUGCAUACAGGAUAGCGAGGACGAGCGACCUACGAUGGGAAUGGUAGUGAAAAUGUUAGAGGGGGUGGUUGAAGUAGCCAUUCCUCCAGCUCCAAAAUUAUUACAGGCUCUCAUUUCUGGAGACUCGUACCACGGGAUUCAAAUAGAUUCCGGUACUGGUAUAAUGCCGGUCAGCAGUGAUUGUUCCGAAGGAAGAUAUGCACUAAACUUGUAGCAUUGACUAAAUAACAGAAACAAAAUUGCAAGGGAUGGGAGGUUGUUGCUGUUCUACCAGAAAAUCUCAUCUGCAUGGCACGCCUGUAUAUUAUUAUGUGAUGUCCACCAGUUGUGGAAGAGCACGAAACCUUGACAUCCCACAGUGGUGUAGCCUCUGCAUUCACUGCAGGUCUCCUGGCUGAAU